GAUGAACGCUGGCGGCGUGCCUAAUACAUGCAAGUCGAGCGAACAGACGAGGAGCUUGCUCCUCUGACGUUAGCGGCGUACGGGUGAGUAACACGUGGAUAACCUACCUAUAAGACUGGGAUAACUUCGGGAAACCGGAGCUAAUACCGGAUAAUAUAUUGAACCGCAUGGUUCAAUAGUGAAAGACGGUUUUGCUGUCACUUAUAGAUGGAUCCGCGCCGCAUUAGCUAGUUGGUAAGGUAACGGCUUACCAAGGCGACGAUGCGUAGCCGACCUGAGAGGGUGAUCGGCCACACUGGAACUGAGACACGGUCCAGACUCCUACGGGAGGCAGCAGUAGGGAAUCUUCCGCAAUGGGCGAAAGCCUGACGGAGCAACGCCGCGUGAGUGAUGAAGGUCUUCGGAUCGUAAAACUCUGUUAUUAGGGAAGAACAAAUGUGUAAGUAACUAUGCACGUCUUGACGGUACCUAAUCAGAAAGCCACGGCUAACUACGUG
This 497-nucleotide ribosomal RNA is filed under the name uncultured bacterium. Its description in RNAcentral is "partial 16S ribosomal RNA". It matches the Rfam family "Bacterial small subunit ribosomal RNA", at positions 28 to 507 of the family's 1533-position model. The record is from RNAcentral.